UACGAGGGGGGCAAGCGUUGUUCGGAAUUAUUGGGCGUAAAGGGUGCGUAGGCGGUCUGAUAAGUCAUCUGUGAAAUCUAUGGGCUCAACCCAUAGUCUGCAGGCGAAACUGUCGGGCUUGAGUAUGGGAGAGGUGAGUGGAAUUUCCGGUGUAGCGGUGAAAUGCGUAGAUAUCGGAAGGAACACCUGUGGCGAAAGCGGCUCACUGGACCAUUACGUGACGCUGAUGCACGAAAGCUAGGGGGAGCAAACAGG
RNAcentral lists this ribosomal RNA (255 nucleotides) under uncultured bacterium. RNAcentral describes it as "partial 16S ribosomal RNA". It matches the Rfam family "Bacterial small subunit ribosomal RNA", at positions 524 to 776 of the family's 1533-position model. The record is from RNAcentral.